GAGAAGAUAGCUUACUAAGUCAUAAAAACUCCAAUGUUCAGGAUGCUGCUGCAAACAGUGCUAUAUUAAAUGAGAAUAAUGUGCCUUUCCCUGAAGAUUCUCUUGCUCUGAUGCAUACCACACCUGCAACAAAUGGUUCUGUUCUUAAGGAUGCUACAGAUGAAUUGGAUGCGUUACUUUUAUCUCUAACUGAGAAUCUGAUGGACCACACAGUCACACCUCAGGUAAGUAUG
This 233-nucleotide long non-coding RNA is filed under the name Canis lupus dingo (dingo). RNAcentral describes it as "lncRNA (ENSCAFG00020013784.1)". Lineage: Eukaryota; Metazoa; Chordata; Mammalia; Carnivora; Canidae. The record is from RNAcentral.